This 469-nucleotide ribosomal RNA is filed under the name uncultured bacterium. RNAcentral's name for it is "partial 16S ribosomal RNA". It matches the Rfam family "Bacterial small subunit ribosomal RNA", at positions 28 to 507 of the family's 1533-position model. The record is from RNAcentral.
GAUGAACGCUGGCGGCGUGCUUAACACAUGCAAGUCGAACGGUGAAGCUCCAGCUUGCUGGAGUGGAUCAGUGGCGAACGGGUGAGUAACACGUGAGCAACCUGCCCCUGACUCUGGGAUAACAGCCGGAAACGGCUGCUAAUACCGGAUAUGCACCAUGAACGCAUGUUCUGUGGUGGGAAAGAUUUUGCGGUUGGGGAUGGGCUCGCGGCCUAUCAGCUUGUUGGUGAGGUAAUGGCUCACCAAGGCGUCGACGGGUAGCCGGCCUGAGAGGGUGACCGGCCACACUGGGACUGAGACACGGCCCAGACUCCUACGGGAGGCAGCAGUGGGGAAUAUUGCACAAUGGGCGAAAGCCUGAUGCAGCAACGCCGCGUGAGGGAUGACGGCCUUCGGGUUGUAAACCUCUUUUAGCAGGGAAGAAGCGAGAGUGACGGUACCUGCAGAAAAAGCGCCGGCUAACUACGUG